This 924-nucleotide ribosomal RNA is filed under the name uncultured bacterium. Its description in RNAcentral is "bacterial SSU rRNA". It matches the Rfam family "Bacterial small subunit ribosomal RNA", at positions 1 to 917 of the family's 1533-position model. The record is from RNAcentral. RNAcentral also lists the same sequence under 1 other name.
UGGAUCCAGACUUUGAUUCUGGCUCAGGAUGAACGCUAGCUACAGGCUUAACACAUGCAAGUCGAGGGGCAGCGGGAUUGAAGCUUGCUUCAAUUGCCGGCGACCGGCGCACGGGUGAGUAACGCGUAUCCAACCUUCCGUACACCCAGGGAUAGCCUUUCGAAAGAAAGAUUAAUACCUGAUGGUAUGAUGAGAUUGCAUGAUAGCAUCAUUAAAGAUUUAUCGGUGUACGAUGGGGAUGCGUUCCAUUAGGUAGUAGGCGGGGUAACGGCCCACCUAGCCAACGAUGGAUAGGGGUUCUGAGAGGAAGGUCCCCCACAUUGGAACUGAGACACGGUCCAAACUCCUACGGGAGGCAGCAGUGAGGAAUAUUGGUCGAUGGACGAGAGUCUGAACCAGCCAAGUAGCGUGAAGGAUGAAGGUCCUACGGAUUGUAAACUUCUUUUAUAAGGGAAUAAACCCUCCCACGUGUGGGAGCUUGUAUGUACCUUAUGAAUAAGCAUCGGCUAACUCCGUGCCAGCAGCCGCGGUAAUACGGAGGAUGCGAGCGUUAUCCGGAUUUAUUGGGUUUAAAGGGAGCGCAGACGGGUCGUUAAGUCAGCUGUGAAAGUUUGGGGCUCAACCUUAAAAUUGCAGUUGAUACUGGCGUCCUUGAGUGCGGUUGAGGUGUGCGGAAUUCGUGGUGUAGCGGUGAAAUGCUUAGAUAUCACGAAGAACUCCGAUUGCGAAGGCAGCACACUAAUCCGUAACUGACGUUCAUGCUCGAAAGUGUGGGUAUCAAACAGGAUUAGAUACCCUGGUAGUCCACACGGUAAACGAUGGAUACUCGCUGUUGGCGAUAUACUGUCAGCGGCUUAGCGAAAGCGUUAAGUAUCCCACCUGGGGAGUACGCCGGCAACGGUGCAACUCAAAUGAAUUGACGGA